Molecule: signal recognition particle RNA, 282 nt
Filed under: Pan troglodytes (chimpanzee)
Lineage: Eukaryota; Metazoa; Chordata; Mammalia; Primates; Hominidae
Description: Metazoan signal recognition particle RNA
Rfam family: Metazoan signal recognition particle RNA
About the family: The signal recognition particle (SRP) is a universally conserved ribonucleoprotein. It is involved in the co-translational targeting of proteins to membranes. The eukaryotic SRP consists of a 300-nucleotide 7S RNA and six proteins: SRPs 72, 68, 54, 19, 14, and 9.
Source: Rfam by way of RNAcentral
GCCGGGCGCGGUGGCUCACGCCUGUAAUCCCAGCACUUUGGGAGGCCAAGGUGGGUGGAUCACCUGAGGUCAGGAGUUCGAAACCAGCAUGGCCAACAUGAUGAAACCCCGUCUCUACUAAAAAUACAAAAAAUUAGCCGGGCGUGAUGGCGCACACCUGUAAUCCCAGCUACUUGGGAGGUUGAGGCAGAAGAAUCACUUGUAUUUUUUAGUAGAGAAGGGGUUUCAGCAUGUUGGCCAGGCUGCUCUUGAACUCCUGACCUCAGGUGAUCCACCUGCCUC